RNAcentral lists this long non-coding RNA (207 nucleotides) under Prunus persica (peach). Its description in RNAcentral is "long non-coding RNA (PPER_LNC005253)". The record is from RNAcentral. Lineage: Eukaryota; Viridiplantae; Streptophyta; Magnoliopsida; Rosales; Rosaceae.
GGAGGAGUCAUUUGCUGUCUUUUGAGUGAAAUCCAAUAGCUACAACUAUGUAAUACACCAACCAGUCCAUUUCAGAACGAACUUCAUACGAACCUGAAUUGUCCAAUUUCAUGUACCAAUCGAAAUCGGAUUGAGUCCAAAACUUGGGGAACAUCAUAAUACAGUGGGAGGAGUCAUUUGGUGGGUUUUGAGUGAAAUGCAGUCCCC